AAAUUAAGGUGAAACCGCGAAAGGCUCAUUAAAUCAGUUAUGGUUCCUUAGAUCGUACCCACAUUUACUUGGAUAACUGUGGUAAUUCUAGAGCUAAUACAUGCCGACAGAACUCCGACCGGAGACGGUAGGAGCGCUUUUAUUAGAUCAAAACCAAUCGGUGACCGGACAGUCAAACGUCCACUUCAUCGUACAAUCUGGUGAUUCUGAAUAACUUUUUGCUGAUCGCACGGUCAAGCACCGGCGACGCAUCUUUCAAAUGUCUGCCUUAUCAACUGUCGAUGGUAGGUUCUGCGCCUACCAUGGUCGUAACGGGUAACGGGGAAUCAGGGUUCGAUUCCGGAGAGGGAGCCUGAGAAACGGCUACCACAUCCAAGGAAGGCAGCAGGCGCGCAAAUUACCCACUCCCGGCACGGGGAGGUAGUGACGAAAAAUAACGAUACGGGACUCAUCCGAGGCCCCGUAAUCGGAAUGAGUACACUUUAAAUCCUUUAACGAGGAUCAAUUGGAGGGCAAGUCUGGUGCCAGCAGCCGCGGUAAUUCCAGCUCCAAUAGCGUAUAUUAAAGUUGUUGCGGUUAAAAAGCUCGUAGUCGAAUCUGUGUCCCGCGUCGCCGGUUCAUCGUUCGCGGUGACACUGGCGUGUCGCGGGACGUCCUGCCGGUGGGCCUCACUAUUCCCCUUCAAAAGGGAAUAACGGCCCGACCCAAUCCCGCCGCGGUGCUCUUGAUCGAGUGUCGAGGUGGGCCGGCACGUUUACUUUGAACAAAUUAGAGUGCUUAAAGCAGGCUAAAAUUUCGCCUGAAUACUGUGUGCAUGGAAUAAUGGAAUAGGACCUCGGUUCUAUUUUGUUGGUUUUCGGAACCCCGAGGUAAUGAUUAAUAGGAACGGAUGGGGGCAUUCGUAUUGCGACGUUAGAGGUGAAAUUCUUGGAUCGUCGCAAGACGGACAGAAGCGAAAGCAAAGUUAGAGGUUCGAAGGCGAUCAGAUACCGCCCUAGAACCAUAAACGAUGCCAGCUAGCGAUCCGCCGAAGUUCCUCCGAUGACUCGGCGGGCAGCUUCCGGGAAACCAAAGCUUUUGGGUUCCGGGGGAAGUAUGGUUGCAAAGCUGAAACUUAAAGGAAUUGACGGAAGGGCACCACCAGGAGUGGAGCCUGCGGCUUAAUUUGACUCAACACGGGAAACCUCACCAGGCCCGGACACCGGAAGGAUUGACAGAUUGAGAGCUCUUUCUUGAUUCGGUGGGUGGUGGUGCAUGGCCGUUCUUAGUUGGUGGAACGAUUUGUCUGGUUAAUUCCGAUAACGAACGAGACUCUAGCCUGCUAACUAGGCGUA
RNAcentral lists this ribosomal RNA (1334 nucleotides) under Atractocerus sp. DDM0261. RNAcentral's name for it is "SSU rRNA". It matches the Rfam family "Eukaryotic small subunit ribosomal RNA", at positions 73 to 1363 of the family's 1831-position model. The record is from RNAcentral. Lineage: Eukaryota; Metazoa; Arthropoda; Insecta; Coleoptera; Lymexylidae.